GACGAACGCUGGCGGCGUGCCUAAUACAUGCCAGUUGAGCGCUGAAGGUUGGUACUUGUACCAACUGGAUGAGCAGCGAACGGGUGAGUAACGCGUGGGGAAUCUGCCUUUGAGCGGGGGACAACAUUUGGAAACGAAUGCUAAUACCGCAUAAAAACUUUAAACACAAGUUUUAAGUUUGAAAGAUGCAAUUGCAUCACUCAAAGAUGAUCCCGCGUUGUAUUAGCUAGUUGGUGAGGUAAAGGCUCACCAAGGCGAUGAUACAUAGCCGACCUGAGAGGGUGAUCGGCCACAGUGGGACUGAGACACGGCCCAAACUCCUACGGGAGGCAGCAGUAGGGAAUCUUCGGCAAUGGACGAAAGUCUGACCGAGCAACGCCGCGGGAGUGAAGAAGGUUUUCGGAUCGUAAAACUCUGUUGGUAGAGAAGAACGUUGGUGAGAGUGGAAAGCUCAUCAAGUGACGGUAACUACCCAGAAAGGGACGGCUAACUACGUG
This 497-nucleotide ribosomal RNA is filed under the name uncultured bacterium. RNAcentral describes it as "partial 16S ribosomal RNA". It matches the Rfam family "Bacterial small subunit ribosomal RNA", at positions 28 to 507 of the family's 1533-position model. The record is from RNAcentral.